Molecule: ribosomal RNA, 497 nt
Filed under: uncultured bacterium
Lineage: Bacteria
Description: partial 16S ribosomal RNA
Rfam family: Bacterial small subunit ribosomal RNA
Source: RNAcentral
GAUGAACGCUGGCGGCGUGCCUAAUACAUGCAAGUCGAGCGAACAGACGAGGAGCUUGCUCCUCUGACGUUAGCGGCGGACGGGUGAGUAACACGUGGAUAACCUACCUAUAAGACUGGGAUAACUUCGGGAAACCGGAGCUAAUACCGGAUAAUAUAUUGAACCGCAUGGUUCAAUAGUGAAAGACGGUUUUGCUGUCACUUAUAGAUGGAUCCGCGCCGCAUUAGCUAGUUGGUAAGGUAACGGCUUACCAAGGCAACGAUGCGUAGCCGACCUGAGAGGGUGAUUGGCCACACUGGAACUGAGACACGGUCCAGACUCCUACGGGAGGCAGCAGUAGAGAAUCUUCCGCAAUGGGCGAAAGCUUGACGGAGCAACGCCGCGUGAGUGAUGAAGGUCUUCGGAUCGUAAAACUCUGUUAUUAGGGAAGAACAAAUGUGUAAGUAACUAUGCACGUCUUGACGGUACCUAAUCAGAAAGCCACGGCUAACUACGUG